RNAcentral lists this ribosomal RNA (1864 nucleotides) under Stentor polymorphus. Its description in RNAcentral is "bacterial LSU rRNA". It matches the Rfam family "Bacterial large subunit ribosomal RNA", at positions 474 to 2357 of the family's 2925-position model. Lineage: Eukaryota; Ciliophora; Heterotrichea; Heterotrichida; Stentoridae. The record is from RNAcentral.
UAUGAAGUAAACGAAAGUGAACUAGUACCGUGAGGGAACGCUGAAAUAGAAUACUGGAAAGUUAGUGAAAUAGAUUAUGAAAGCAUAAGCUUACAAGCAAUAGGAGAUAUUUUAGUAUUGACUGUGUGCCUGUUGAAGAAUGAGCCGGCGACUUAUAAGUAAUGGCUUAGGUUAAGGUUAUUUUAUUCUGGAGCCAAAGUUAAAUCGAGUUUUAAUAGAGCUUUAUGUCAUUAUUUAUAGACCCGAACCCGGGUGAUCUAAUCAUGACCAGGAUGAAACUUUAAUAAUAUAUUGUGAAGGUCCGAACUCACCAAUGUUGAAAAAUUGGGAGAUGAGUUGUGAUUAGGGGAGAAAUUCCAGUCGAACUCGGAGCUAGCUGGAUCUCUUCGAAAUGCGUUGAGGCGCAGCGGAUAAAAAUUUAAUGUCAGGGGUAAAGCACUGUUUCGAUGAGGGCUGCGAAAGUAGUGCCAAGUUGUAGCAAACUUUGAAUACUGAUGUUUUUAUUAUCUAGUGAGACUGUGGGGGAUAAGCUUCAUAGUCAAAAGGGAAACAGCCCAGACUACCAUUUAAGGCCCCUAAAUAUUUGCUAAGUGACAAAGGAGGUGAAAAUACAUAGACAACCAGGAGGUUGACUUAGAGGCAGUAAUCCUUUAAAAAGUGCGUAAUAGCUUACUGGUUAAGUGUUUUCGCACCGAAAAUGAACGGGGCUAAGCAAAUUGCCGAAGAUGUAGGAUAUUUUGUAUCGGUAGAAGAGCGUGCUGUUUUUGAUUGAAGCUUUGAUGUAAAUCUUGGUGGACUAAACAGCAGUGAGAAUGUCGGCUUAAGUAACGAAAACAAUGGUUAAAAUCCAUUGCUCCGUAAACCUAAGGUUUCCUUUGGAAGGUUCGUCCGCAAAGGGUUAGUCAGGUCCUAAAAUAAAAUUGAAAAAUUUAGUUGAUGGGUAACAGGUUAAUAUUCCUGUGCUAUAUAUUAUUUGCUAAGAGUGACGGAGAAGAUUAUUGUCCAGAUCAAAUUUGGUUGUUUUGGUUCAAUCUUCGCGCUUUUGUUAGGGUAUUAUAAAAAAUAUUCUGCUUUGCGGGGAUUGUAAAAGACAUUACGGUGUUAUAAAUGGUCAAUUUCAUGCUUCCUAGAAAAACUUUGGUAGUUUAUAAUAGUAUAUACCUGUACCGUAAACUGACACAGGUGGGUUGGUAGAAAAUACUAAGGAGCGCGAGAUAACCUUUUCUAAGGAACUCGGCAAAAUGGCUCUGUAACUUCGGGAGAAGGAGUACCUACUUAUUGUAGGUCGCAGAAAAAAGGUCCAUACGACUGUUUAUCAAAAACACAGGUCUCUGCUAAGUUGAAAAACGAUGUAUAGGGGCUGACGCCUGCCCAGUGCCGGAAGGUUAAAGAAAUUGGUUAGCUUUCGCGAAGCUGAUGACUGAAGCCCCCGUGAACGGCAGCAAUAAAAAUAAUUGUUCUAAGGUAGCGAAAUUCCUUGUCAGGUAAGUUCUGACCCGCACGAAAGGCGUAACGAUAUGGAUACUGUCUCAGAAAGGGACUCGGUGAAAUAGAAUUGACUGUGAAGAUGCGGUCUACCUGCACUUGGACAGAAAGACCCUAUGAAGCUUUACUAUAGCCUGAUAUUGGUUUUGAAUUUCUUUUGCGCAGUAUAGGUGGGAGGCGUUGAACCGCUUUUUCGGAAGUUGGAGAGCCUAAAUGUGAGAUACCACUCUUAAAAAAUUUGGAAUCUAAUGAUAUUUUAGAUAUGAUAUUUGACAGUUUCAGGUGGAUAGUUUUACUGGGGCGGUAGCCUCCUAAAAGGUAACGGAGGCGUACAAAGGUUUUUUCAAUUUGGGUGGAAAUCAAAUGUAGAGUGUAAAAA